UACGUAGGCAGCAAGCGUUGUUCGGAGUUACUGGGCGUAAAGGGUGUGUAGGCGGUUCUUUAAGUUUGGUGUGAAAUCUCCCGGCUCAACUGGGAGGGUGCGCCGAAUACUGAGGGACUAGAGUACGGGAGAGGAAAGUGGAAUUCCUGGUGUAGCGGUGAAAUGCGUAGAUAUCAGGAGGAACACCGGUGGUGUAGACGGCUUUCUGGACCGUAACUGACGCUGAGGAGCGAAAGCGUGGGGAGCGAACAGG
RNAcentral lists this ribosomal RNA (253 nucleotides) under uncultured bacterium. Its description in RNAcentral is "partial 16S ribosomal RNA". It matches the Rfam family "Bacterial small subunit ribosomal RNA", at positions 524 to 776 of the family's 1533-position model. The record is from RNAcentral.